Molecule: long non-coding RNA, 359 nt
Organism: Ornithodoros turicata
Lineage: Eukaryota; Metazoa; Arthropoda; Arachnida; Ixodida; Argasidae
Exons: 3
Source: RefSeq, a predicted model, not a curated record
GACGCUGUUUCACGUGGUUUUGUGUUUCUCUUUUGUGGAGCGCGUUGAACAUUGUUAGCAAGUGGCCUAUGCUUCUAUCGUAAAGUGAUAAUCCGUGUUCCCUGCACAAGAACGGCAAUGUUUCGGAAGUACAGCAAUCAAAAGAUGGAUUACGAUGCACCUUGGAUAAUUUAUUCAGAAAUGUCGUCUGCUACACAGGGCGAGGACUGGGAGUAGAUAUGAAAAAGAAAAGUACGAAAAGCACCGGCCUCGAUUGGAGAGUGGUCUUUCUUGUAACCACGAUGACGUCACAAUCCUCCUCCUCCUCGUUUCAGCCUGCAAAGUGAGUCGAGAGGGAACGUGCGCGUCGAUGUUCGUCU